Molecule: long non-coding RNA, 1742 nt
Filed under: Linum usitatissimum (flax)
Lineage: Eukaryota; Viridiplantae; Streptophyta; Magnoliopsida; Malpighiales; Linaceae
Description: long non-coding RNA (LUSI_LNC003674)
Source: RNAcentral
GAUGUGUCCCCAGGCUAUCUCCCCUGCACCCUCAUAAGUUUGAUCAUCAUCUUUAGUUGCACAUCAACGGAGAUCCAGACUUUUUUUAACGAAUAUAAUUUUUUUUUGCAGUGAAGUCAUCGGCCUGCGGAUACUUGCAUCGUGCGGGCCUGGUUUUCGAGCUGGCAUGUCUUCCGGCGGGACCUACUUCGUAUACAUGAAGGGUCAAUGCACGAGGGUUGGCGGUGGACGUUUGGGUCUUUCGUUUUCGAGCAAUUAACAAAAUUAAACCGGUUCCUUGAGGCCUGUUGGUGGUUUUCCCGCAAACACUCUUGCCACAGUAAGUCGUUUACAUUACGUAUUGAACUCCAUUUUGUACUCGUCCUGCUCAUAGUCUCAUAUAUGAAUUAGCUUGCGAAUAAUUCCUCUUACAACUAUAUAUUAUAGACCAAAUAAAUCUCUUUUGUGGGUUAAUUAAUUGCCUGAGUUGAGAAAAUAUCAAGUCAUCUUUGCUAGCUCAACCGAAAUAGGGUGAGGAUACUGCUUCAUUACUAUACUAAUCCUUGGUGUGGGGAUUGGGGACCGUAAACAUGAUCAAAUCGAGGGUAUUUGAGUUCUUUUAACAAUAGAAUUAUAGGUAAGCCUUCUGGUCAACAAUUAGUCCGUCUCAGCUUGCACAAAUAACUACACUUUUGAUCGACAACUAAUCAUUAAACUGGUGAUGAGUUGUGUCUUAAAGAAGACAUAGUAGGAGGGCUGAUCGAAGAAUUUGAUGAUACAUAAAAAUAUAAAAUAAUUGUUUAACUUGAUAUAGUAUAUAGGAUAGGAGAUCAAAAUGAGCAUCAACUUGUCUGAUUAGAAAAUGUUGUUGGUUGUGUCUUGUCUGUUAGACUUUUUGUUUGUUUUUUAUGCGAGUGUUUCCGCUAGAACAUAAACAGUUAUCCGUUUGCAGCCGCCUAUAAAUCUAUAAAUCUAUAAACCAAUUAGCAAAAUCAAACCGGUUCCGUGAGUUGAGGCCUGUUUGUCUGUAUACCCGCAAACACUCAUGCAACGAUAAGCACGGUAUGUGGUUUAUAUUUACGUAUUGAACUCCAAUUUUAACUUGUCCUUCUCAUAUAAGGAUUAGAUUCAAAAUUUCAUAUAAGUUCGAGAUAAAUUUGGGUAUUUAGCAAUAGUUAAUAUUCGAUUAUAUAUUUAUCCAUUUAUACUACUACAGGAUGUUUUUUAAAUCUACUUUAUACUACUACAGGAUGUUUUGUAAAUCUACUGAGUAGAAAUGAUGAGAUAGUUUCCACGGCUUACUGUCUCAAAAAACCAAGAUGAUUUUGGUCUCGUACUAUGUCAAGUCAUAUUAACAAUCAUCCUUUGUACUUUAACACAAUAAUAACAGAUCAGUCUUCUUACAACUAUUAUAGACCAAAUAAAUCUCUUUUGUGGGUUGUAUAGGCAAAUGCUUUCGGUUGGCCGUUUUGGUAUGAGAUUUUUGUUUGUGUUGUUAGUUUUUUGGUAUGAAUGAAUGCUUAUUAUACAUAUACAUCUCGUACGUUGCUUAUGAUUAAUAUCAUUCAUCAUUUAUAUAAAGGAAAAGGAGCAUGCAUUGACUUAGAACUCUUCUACCUCUACAGUAAAUAAUUUGUCCGACAAUUAGAGUCCAUAAUGCUUCUUCUAUUACCAAGUUAUGAAAAUAGGUUUUGAAUUUGUUAUUAGCAUGCGAUUUGACGUUGAGAUGAAGAUAAGGCUUCGAGUUUGGAAAUUUUGGCAGA